This 77-nucleotide transfer RNA is filed under the name Clostridiales bacterium. RNAcentral's name for it is "tRNA-His". It matches the Rfam family "tRNA". Rfam says of the family: Transfer RNA (tRNA) molecules are approximately 80 nucleotides in length. RNAcentral also lists the same sequence under 1 other name. The record is from RNAcentral. Lineage: Bacteria; Bacillati; Bacillota; Clostridia; Eubacteriales.
GUGGGUAUAGCUCAGUUGGUUAGAGCGCCAGAUUGUGGCUCUGGAGGUCGUGGGUUCGACUCUCACUAUCCACCCCA